GCGCGCAUAGCUCAGGUGGUAGAGCAACUGACUUUUAAUCAGUGGGUCCCAGGUUCGAGUCCUGGUGCGCGCACCA
This 76-nucleotide transfer RNA is filed under the name Alphaproteobacteria bacterium. RNAcentral's name for it is "tRNA-Lys". It matches the Rfam family "tRNA". From Rfam's summary of the family: Transfer RNA (tRNA) molecules are approximately 80 nucleotides in length. Their secondary structure includes four short double-helical elements and three loops (D, anti-codon, and T loops). Further hydrogen bonds mediate the characteristic L-shaped molecular structure. tRNAs have two regions of fundamental functional importance: the anti-codon, which is responsible for specific mRNA codon recognition, and the 3' end, to which the tRNAs corresponding amino acid is attached (by aminoacyl-tRNA synthetases). tRNAs cope with the degeneracy of the genetic code in two manners: having more than one tRNA (with a specific anti-codon) for a particular amino acid; and 'wobble' base-pairing, i.e. permitting non-standard base-pairing at the 3rd anti-codon position. The record is from RNAcentral. RNAcentral also lists the same sequence under 2 other names. Lineage: Bacteria; Pseudomonadati; Pseudomonadota; Alphaproteobacteria.